Long non-coding RNA from Daphnia pulex (common water flea), 783 nucleotides. RefSeq lists it as uncharacterized. The transcript has 4 exons. NCBI's taxonomy places the organism in Eukaryota, Metazoa, Arthropoda, Branchiopoda, Diplostraca, Daphniidae. The record is from RefSeq and is a predicted model, not a curated record.
UAGAAAUCAAUUGAAUUUUAAAUAUCUCAAAUGUUCGACAAUAGAACUCGAUAGAACUGUGAUUGUGCAACAAACAUAAGAUUCAAAACUCAUUACUAGAUGUCGCCGCUGUCGUUCUUGUUGUUACUACGCCUGUCAUGAAACGAGGUGAAAUGGACGAAACAAAAUUGUUGCUAAUACUUAUAUUCCUGUGAUUUCAAAUACCAAAUUGAGCUUCGUAUCUAAUAUGCAUAGCUACUGUCAGUCAUCCCAACAAGUUGACUUAGUGCUCAGUCACUUUCCAUCCAUUAGAUCCUCAUGCUGUCAAAAUCCUAAAACUCAUGUUUGAAGCACACAUAUAGUGGUAUACAAAUGUGUGGAGAUAAGGUAUUUUCCCAUUACUGCUACCACAAAAACCACACUACGUCAAAUGCCUUACUACAUCAUCACCCAUAUGAUAAAGCAUCAGGAAAUUUAUCCCACCUGAGGAGUAAUGCAGUUGGUUGCUGUAGUUCCAUUAUCACGGUUUUUCAUCAUGAACAUUUCAGUGUGCUUCUUAGAAAAGAGCACGCAAGAUCCCACAGACAUCUUUGAGCCAAUGCUGGAUUAUGUCCAUCACAGAAGAGGGACUUCCACCAACGUUCUGCUCCAUCCUUAUCUUCAAGACUCAUCCAGUUUCACUGCUUCAGUGCUUCUUAUGCUGCUAGUCCUGCUACACAACUUUUCUUGCUUCACUGGCGAGUUGGAUCACUUCCGUUGCUGUGACACACCUGCAGUCAUUCACCACGGGAUUAUGGCCAGGUA